Molecule: ribosomal RNA, 31 nt
Filed under: uncultured organism
Description: partial 16S ribosomal RNA
Source: RNAcentral
UGGGCUUGACAUGUCCGGAAUUCUGCAGAGA